UACGGGGGGGGCUAGCGUUGUUCGGAAUUACUGGGCGUAAAGCGCGCGUAGGCGGUCAUGCAAGUCAGGGGUGAAAUCCCGGAGCUUAACUCCGGAACUGCCUUUGAAACUGCAUGGCUAGAAUGUGUGAGGGGAUAGCGGAAUUGCUAAUGUAGAGGUGAAAUUCGUAGAUAUUAGCAGGAACACCGGUGGCGAAGGCGGCUAUCUGGCACACUAUUGACGCUCUGGCGCGAAAGCGUGGGGAUCAAACAGG
RNAcentral lists this ribosomal RNA (253 nucleotides) under uncultured bacterium. RNAcentral's name for it is "partial 16S ribosomal RNA". It matches the Rfam family "Bacterial small subunit ribosomal RNA", at positions 524 to 776 of the family's 1533-position model. The record is from RNAcentral.